RNAcentral lists this ribosomal RNA (253 nucleotides) under uncultured bacterium. RNAcentral describes it as "partial 16S ribosomal RNA". It matches the Rfam family "Bacterial small subunit ribosomal RNA", at positions 524 to 776 of the family's 1533-position model. The record is from RNAcentral.
UACGGAGGGUGCGAGCGUUAUUCGGAAUUACUGGGCGUAAAGCGCGUGUAGGCGGCUUGACAAGUCUGAUGUGAAAGCCCUGGGCUCAACCGGAGGAAAGCCAGUGAAACUGCAUGACUAGAGUGUGGGAGAGGUAGAAGGAAUUCCCUGAGUAGCGGUGAAAUGCGUAGAUACAGGGAAGAACACCGGAGGCGAAAGCGUUCUACUGGAACACAACUGACACUGAGAGACGAAAGCUAGGGGAGCGAAUGGG